GGAAUCUUCCACAAUGGACGAAAGUCUGAUGGAGCAACGCCGCGUGAGUGAAGAAGGGUUUCGGCUCGUAAAACUCUGUUGUUAAAGAAGAACACGUAUGAGAGUAACUGUUCAUACGUUGACGGUAUUUAACCAGAAAGUCACGGCUAACUACGUGCCAU
RNAcentral lists this ribosomal RNA (161 nucleotides) under uncultured bacterium. RNAcentral describes it as "partial 16S ribosomal RNA". It matches the Rfam family "Bacterial small subunit ribosomal RNA", at positions 358 to 511 of the family's 1533-position model. The record is from RNAcentral.